This 479-nucleotide ribosomal RNA is filed under the name uncultured bacterium. RNAcentral describes it as "bacterial SSU rRNA". It matches the Rfam family "Bacterial small subunit ribosomal RNA", at positions 33 to 534 of the family's 1533-position model. The record is from RNAcentral.
UGAUUACGCUGGCGGCGUGCCUAACACAUGCAAGUCGAACGAGGUAGCAAUACCUAGUGGCAGACGGGUGAGUAACACGUGGUCAACCUUCCCUACAGUGGGGGAUAACUAGCCGAAAGGUUAGCUAAUACCGCAUAACAUCUACGAGUGGCAUCACAUGUAGAUCAAAGGAGUAAUCCGCUGAAGGAUGGGACCGCGCCCGAUUAGUUAGUUGGUGGGGUAAUGGCCUACCAAGACUCCGAUCGGUAGCUGGUUUGAGAGAGCGACCAGCCACACUGGGACUGAGAAACGGCCCAGACUCCUACGGGAGGCAGCAGUGAGGAAUUUUCCGCAAUGGGCGAAAGCCUGACGGAGCGACGCCGCGUGUGGGAAGAAGGCCUUCGGGUCGUAAACCACUGUCGAAGGGGAAGAUAAUGACGGUACCCUUGGAGGAAGCCCCGGCUAACUACGUGCCAGCAGCCGCGGUAAGACGUAGGGGG